AUAGAAAACGUCUAUGACGAAAAAAAUAUUUAUGCGUUUAAAUCUUUUUGGUGUUAAAAAGAUGAGAAGAGUUUACGAAGUGUUAUAAUGUGGAGGUUUUUAAGUAUCUACUGGCUGAAACUUUUUCGUUGAUAUUAAAAAUCUCAUAUAUCCGAAAACUAAUCCUUUUUUAUCUAAGGGAUUUAUUUUAGUUUGUUUCGUAUAUAUGGAAUCUUUAAUUUCAUCUUUCUUAUGUUUUUUUUUAUUUGGUAACUAGCCACCAACCUUUCCUAGAAAGUUUUGAACAUCACAACCUUUUUAAUCUGCUUUUUAGGUUAAUUAUAGCGUAUACUUAUUUCUAUAUCCCAAAAAGAAUAUAUCUAGAUGAAAAAGAGCUUAAAAUUAUAUUUUCACAUAUAUAAUGCCACAUAUAAAUAAGAUGCAUGUAUGCAUAAAUGAUUAAUGUACGAGCAUAACUCAAACUUUUAAACCAUACAACGAAAAUGCACUUCUUUUGCUGAUCUGUCACUGUUAGAUUGGUCGUUGUUCAAUACAGAAAUAACAAAUAAAUCAUUUUACGAACAUUCUAUCAUUACAGAAUAAUAAUCUAAAUCUCAUUUCCUUUGAAUAUUAUAUCAUUAUAGAAUAUUCUAUCAUUACGAAUAUUAUAUAAUUAUAGAAUAAUAGUCUAAUUCCCCCUUACAUUGCAUUCUCUCAUUAUUGUAAUUUAGUCAUUAUAAAUCAUUAUAGAAUAAUAGUCUAAUUCCCCCUUUAGAAUUCUAAAAAAUACCCACUAUGUAAUGCCACAUAUAAAUAAGAUGCAUUAUGCAUACAUGGCUAAUGUACGAGCAUGACUCAGACUUUUAAACUAUACAAGCACGGAACACUUUGUUUGCUGAUCAGUCACUGUUAUACUUGUCAUUGUUAAAUACACAAACAGCAAAUAAAUCAUUUUACGAAUAUUAUAUCAUUAUAGAAUAAUAGUCUAAUUCCCCUUCCAUUGCAUUCUCUCAUUGUUGUAAUUUACCAAAAUAAUACAUUACUAAAUGAAAGGAUAUGAAAUGCUCUAUUAGUGAAUCUGUAUAAGCAUUUGGCAUGCAAGAAAAACAUUGGUCAACUACGAUCUUCUGAGUUCACAGAACAUUAUAACAUAAAAUUAAAAACGUGUAUCCGUACUUGCAGAAAAAAACAAAUCAAAAAUAUAAUUUAAUCUAGAGAACCUUAUAAAAAACUUAAAUAUUGAAUAAAUAUAUAAAAAUGAUAUCUUGUAACACAAAAUAUUAUGGAUAAGUUUCAACGUUGGCUUAAUAGUUUACUUUAAUUAUAUAAUUCAUGAUACAAAUUACCAAUCUUUUUUUUGGAAUCUCAUAUCACCAAUCCCAUAACUAAAUAUAUAAAGACAACAACAUUAAUUAAAAUAUGAAAACAUUAAAUCAAGUUUAUUCACAUGGUUUAGGUUUGCCAUCAUCACAAUGUCCAGGUCCCGCAGGAUCAGAAGAUGAAGCACCACAGUCUUUUCCUAACCACUGUGAAUCCUUACCGAAUAAGCAAGAAGACAAAUGUACAAACGCUUGGUGCCUCUGCUUUAACUCCUCGAUACUCAAGCCUUCCACAUGAAUAUUCCACCACUUUUUGUCUAACUUUUUUUCAAUUACAAAUUCUUUCAGUUUCUUUUCCUUCUCUUUCUCCAUCUCUAGCUCCUUAGCGAGAUCAUAAUUCUUUUCCAUGAGGUUCUAGAUCCUGAUUGUUUUAUUUUUGGUAGGUGAAAUGAAACCAUCAGGGUCCCCAAUACAUAUAUAUAUAUAUAGGUAAAAAGAGAUAUAUGGAAGGAUGGUACAUUGUUUUUAGACAUUUAAUAUUCAUGAAAAGAGUAUUUUGACUAAUUUACAUAUUUGACUGGUAAACUGGCAGUCACUUUAAUAUAUAUAGAAACUCUUUAGUCAUUAUUAUAAAGUUAUAGUCAAUAAAUUACUAUGGAAAAUUAGUAAUUCAAUUGGUGAAAAUUGUAAGAGCAUAUUUACAAUUUUAAUACAAUGAGAAUUUGUCAAACUCAAAAAAUAUAUUGUUAUUUCUAUAUAACUUAAAUAUCAACUGAUUUAUGAUUUAAAAUUAAAAAUAAAUCUGUGAGAGAAUUAUUUCGUAGGAUUUUAAUGAAUUAAAGAUUAUCAUUUAUAAAUUUCAUCGCAUUUUUUUUAUUUUCGUUUAUAUUUUUGAACUUUUGAAUGGUGCCAAUGACAUCAACACACAUACACAGAAUUUUAAAAAUCAUGAAUAUGUAAUUCCAUAUUAAACAUAAAAUCACAUACAGUGAGACGAUAAAAUUUAAAUACUCAGUUAGAAGCAAGAAAAUUGUGGGAUAAAUAAAGAAAAAAAUGUGAGGGAAUUAAAAGAGGUUCAUCCAUUCUUAAAUUAAGGAACAAGGUUUUAUGACAAAGUAGUACUGGUUUGUUGAAGACUGAGAAGUGAAUAGGAAGAGAUGAAUAUAGUACAUUUUUGAUGAGUAAGAACACUAUGAAGACGAUGAAUCGACGGAUUAGUGAUAGGGUCAUUGAUAUUGUGGUCCAGGAGAUGAGCUAGUGAGAGAUACCAACCAAAAAAAUAGAAAACGUCUAUGACGAAAAAAAUAUUUAUGCGUUUAAAUCUUUUUGGUGUUAAAAAGAUGAGAAGAGUUUACGAAGUGUUAUAAUGUGGAGGUUUUUAAGUAUCUACUGGCUGAAACUUUUUCGUUGAUAUUAAAAAUCUCAUAGAUCCGAAAACUAAUCUUUUUUUAUCUAAGGGAUUUAUUUUAGUUUGUUUCGUAUAUAUGGAAUCUUUAAUUUCAUCUUUCUUAUGUUUUUUUUUUAUUUGGUAACUAGCCACCAACCUUUCCUAGAAAGUUUUGAACAUCUCAACCUUUUUAAUCUGCUUUUUAGGUUAAUUAUAGCGUAUACUUAUUUCUAUAUCCCAAAAAGAAUAUAUCUAGAUGAAAAAGAGCUUAAAAUUAUAUUUUCACAUAUAUAAUGCCACAUAUAAAUAAGAUGCAUGUAUGCAUAAAUGAUUAAUGUACGAGCAUAACUCAAACUUUUAAACCAUACAACGAAAAUGCACUUCUUUUGCUGAUCUGUCACUGUUAGAUUGGUCGUUGUUCAAUACAGAAAUAACAAAUAAAUCAUUUUACGAACAUUCUAUCAUUACAGAAUAAUAAUCUAAAUCUCAUUUCCUUUGAAUAUUAUAUCAUUAUAGAAUAUUCUAUCAUUACGAAUAUUAUAUAAUUAUAGAAUAAUAGUCUAAUUCCCCCUUACAUUGCAUUCUCUCAUUAUUGUAAUUUAGUCAUUAUAAAUCAUUAUAGAAUAAUAGUCUAAUUCCCCCUUUAGAAUUCUAAAAAAUACCCACUAUGUAAUGCCACAUAUAAAUAAGAUGCAUUAUGCAUACAUGGCUAAUGUACGAGCAUGACUCAGACUUUUAAACUAUACAAGCACAGAACACUUCGUUUGCUGAUCAUUCACUGUUAUACUUGUCAUUGUUAAAUACACAAACAGAAAAUAAAUUAUUUUACGAAUAUUAUAUCAUUAUAGAAUAAUAGUCUAAUUCCCCCUUCCAUUGCAUUCUCUCAUUGUUGUAAUUUACCAAAAUAAUACAUUACUAAAUCAAAGGAUAUGUAAUGCUCUAUUAGUGAAUCUGUAUAAGCAUUUGGCAUGCAAGAAAAACAUUGGUCAACUACGAUCUUCUGAGUUCAUAGAACAUCAUAACAUAAAAUUAAAAACUUGUGUCCGUACGUGCAGAAAAAGGUAAAUCCAAAAUAUAAUUUAAUCUAGAGAACCUUAUAAAAACUUAAAUAUUUAAUAAAUAUAUAAAAAUGAUAUAUUGUAACACAAAAUAUUAUGGAUAAGUUUUAACGUUGGCUUAAUAGUUUACUUUAAUUAUAUAAUUCAUGAUACAAAUUACCAAUCUUUUUUUUGGAAUCUCAUAUCACCAAUCCCAUAACUAAAUAUAUAAAGACAACAACAUUAAUUAAAAUAUGAAAACAUUAAAUCAUGUUUAUUCACAUGGUUUAGGUUUGUCAUCAUCACAAUGUCCACGUCCCGCAGGAUCAGAAGAUGAACCACCACCGUCUUUUCCCAACCAGUGUGAAUCCUUACCGAAUAAGCAAGAAGACAAAUGUACAAACGCUUGGUGCCUCUGCUUUAACUCUUCGAUACUCAAGCCUUCCACAGGAAUAUUCCACCACUUUUUGUCUAACUUAUUUUCCAUUACAAAUUCCCUCAGUUUAUUUUCCUUCUCUUUCUCCAUCUCUAACUCCUUAGCGAGAUCAUAAUUCUUUUCCAUGAGGUUCUAGAUCCUGAGUGUUUUAUUUUUGGUAGGUGAAAUGAAACCAUCGGGAUCCCCAAUACAAAUAUAUAUAGGUAAAAAGAUAUAUAUGAAAGGAUGGUACAUUGUUUUUAGACAUUUAAUGUUCAUGAAAAGAGUAUUUUGACUAAUUUACAUAUUUGACUGGUAAACUGGCAGUCACUUUAAUAUAUAUAGAAACUCUUUAGUCAUUAUUGUAAAGUUAUAGUCAAUAAAUUACUAUGGAAAAUUGGUAAUUCAAUUGGUGAAAAUCGUAAGAGCAUAUUUACAAUUUUAAUACAAUGAGAAUUUGUCAAACUCAAAAUAUAUAUUGUUAUUUCUAUAUAACUUAAUUAUCAUCUGAUUUAUGAUUUAAAAUUAAAAAAUAAAUCUGUGAGAGAAUUAUUUCGUAGGAUUUUAAUGAAUUAAAGAUUAUCAUUUAUAAAUUUCAUCGCAUUUUUUUUAUUUUCGUUUAUAUUUUUGAACUUUUGAGUGGUGCCAUUCAAAUCAACACACAUACACAGAAAUUUAAAAAUCAUGAAUAUGUAAUUCCAGAUUAAACAUAAAAUCACAUACAGUGAAACGAGAAAAUUUAAAUAUUCAGUAAGAAGCAAGAAAAUUGUGGAAUAAAUAAAGAAAAAAAUGUGAGGGAAUCAAAAGAGGUUCAUGCAUUCUUAAAUUAAGGAACAAGGUUUUAUGAUAGAGUUGUACUGGUUUGUUGAAGACUGAGAAGUGAAUAGGAAGAGAUGAAUAUAGUACAUCUUUGAUGAGUAAGAACAGUAUGAAGACGAUGAAUCGACGGAUUAGUGAUAGGGUCAUUGAUAUUGUGGUCCAGGAGAUGAGCUAGUGAGAGAUACCAACCAAAAUAAAUAGAAAACGUCUAUGACGAAAAAAAUAUUUAUUCGUUUAAAUCUUUUUGGUGUUAAAAAGAUGAGAAGAGUUUGCGAAGUGUUAUAAUGUGGAGGUUUUUAAGUAUCUACUGGCUGUAAUUUUUUCGUUGAUAUUAAAAAUCUCAUAGACCCGAAAACUAAUCCUUUUUUAUCUAAGGGAUUUAUUUUAGUUCGUUUCGUAUAUAUGGAAUCUUUAAUUUCAUCUUUCUUAUGUUUUUUAUUUAUUUGGUAACUAGCCACCAACCUUUCCUAGAAAGUUUUGAACAUCACAACCUUUUUAAUCUGCUUUUUAAGUUAAUUAUAGCGUAUACUUAUUUCUAUAUCCCAAAAGGAAUAUAUCUAGAUGCAAAAGAGCUUAAAAUUAUAUUUUCACAUAUAUAAUGCCACAUAUAAAUAAGAUGCAUGUAUGCAUAAAUGAUUAAUGUACGAGCAUAACUCAAACUUUUAAACCAAACAACGAAAAUGCACUUCUUUUGCUGAUAUGUCACUGUUAGAUUGGUCGUUGUUCAAUACAGAAACAACAAAUAAAUCAUUUUACGAACAUUCUACCAUUACAGAAUAAUAAUCUAAAUCUCAUUUUCUUUGAAUAUUAUAUCAUUAUAGAAUAUUCUAUCAUUACGAAUAUUAUAUCAUUAUAGAAUAAUAGUCUAAUUCCCCCUUACAUUGCAUUCUCUCAUUGUUGUAAUUUAGUUAUUAUAAAUCAUUAUAGAAUAAUAGUCUAAUUCCCCCUUUAGAAUUCUAAAAAAUACCCACUAUGUAAUGCCACAUAUAAAUAAGAUGCAUUAUGCAUACAUGGCUAAUGUACGAGCAUGACUCAGACUUUUAAACUAUACAAGCACAGAGCACUUCGUUUGCUGAUCAGUCACUGUUAUACUUGUCAUUGUUAAAUACACAAACAGCAAAUAAAUCAUUUUACGAAUAUUAUAUCAUUAUAGAAUAAUAGUCUAAUUCCCCCUUUCAUUGCAUUCUCUCAUUGUUGUAAUUUACCAAAAUAAUACAUUACAAAUGAAAGGAUAUGUAAUGCUCUAUUAGUGAAUCUGUAUAAGCAUUUGGCAUGCAAGAAAAACAUUGGUCAACUACGAUCUUCUGAGUUCAUAGAACAUCAUAACAUAAAAUUAAAAACUUGUGUCCGUACUUGCAGAAAAAGGAAAUCCAAAAUAUAAUUUAAUCUAGAGAACCUUAUAAAAAACUUAAAUAUUUAAUAAAUAUAUUAAAAUGAUAUCUUGUAACACAAAAUAUUAUGGAUAAGUUUCAACGUUGGCUUAGUAGUUUACUUUAAUUAUAUUAUUCAUGAUACAAAUUACCAAUCUUUUUUUUGGAAUCUCAUAUCACCAAUCCCAUAACUAAAUAUAUAAAGACAACAACAUUAAUUAAAAUAUGAAAACAUUAAAUCAAGUUUAUUCACAUGGUUUAGGUUUGCCAUCAUCACAAUGUCCACGUCCUGCAGGAUCAGAUAAUGAACCACCACCGUCUUUUCCCAACCAGUGUGAAUCCUUACCGAAUAAGCAAGUAGACAAAUGUACAAACGCUUGGUGCCUCUGCUUUAACUCCUCGAUACUCAAGCCUUCCACAGGAAUAUUCCACCACAUUUUGAUCUAACUUAUUUUCAAUUACAAAUUCCUUCAGUUUCUUUUCCUUCUCUUUCUCCAUCUCUAACUCCUUAGCGAGAUCAUAAUUCUUUUCCAUGAGGUUCUAGAUCCUGAGUGUUUUAUUUUUGGUAGGUGAAAUGAAACCAUCAGGGCCCCCAAUACAUAUAUAUAUAUAUAUAUAUAUAGGUAAAAAGAGAUAUAUGGAAGGAUGGUAUAUUGUUUUUAGACAUUUAAUGUUCAUGAAAAGAGUAUUUUGACUAAUUUACAUAUUUAACUGGUAAACUGACAGUCACUUUAAUAUAUAUAGAAACUCUUUAGUCAUUAUUGUAAAGUUAUAGUCAAUAAAUUACUAUGGAAAAUUGGUAAUUCAAUUGGUGAAAAUUAUAAGAGCAUAUAUACAAUUUUAAUACAAUGAGAAUUUGUCAAACUCAAAAUAUAUAUUGUUAUUUCUAUAUAACUUAAAUAUCAACUGAUUUAUGAUUUAAAAUUAAAAAAUAAAUCUGUGAGAGAAUUAUUUCGUAGGAUUUUAAUGAAUUAAAGAUUAUCAUUUAUAAAUUUCAUCGCAUUUUUUUUAUUAUUUUCGUUUUAUUUUUGAACUUUUGAGUGGUGCCAAUCAAAUCAACACACAUACACAGAAUUUUAAAAAUCAUGAAUAUGUAAUUCCAGAUUAAACAUAAAAUCACAUACAGUGAGACGAUAAAAUUUAAAUACUCAGUAAGAAGCAAGAAAAUUGUGGGAUAAAAAAAGAAAAAAAUGUGAGGGAAUCAAAAGAGGUUCAUGCAUUCUUAAAUUAAGGAACAAGGUUUUAUGACAGAGUAGUACUGGUUUGUUGAAGACUGAGAAGUGAAUAGGAAGAGAUGAAUAUAGUACAUCUUUGAUGAGUAAGAACAGUAUGAAGACGAUGAAUCGACGGAUUAGUGAUAGGGUCAGUGAUAUGGUGGUCCAUGAGAUGAGCUAGUGAGAGAUACCAACCAAAACAAAUAGAAAACGUCUAUGACGAAAAAAAUAUUUAUGCGUUUAAAUCUUUUUGGUGUUAAAAAGAUGAGAAGAGUUUGCGAAGUGUUAUAAUGUGGAGGUUUUUAAGUAUCUACUGGCUGCAAUUUUUUCGUUGAUAUUAAAAAUCUCAUAGACCCGAAAACUAAUCCUUUUUUAUCUAAGGGAUUUAUUUUAGUUCGUUUCGUAUAUAUGGAAUCUUUAAUUUCAUCUUUCUCAUGUUUUUUUUUAAUUUGGUAACUAGCCACCAACCUUUCCUAGAAAGUUUUGAACAUCACAACCUUUUUAAUCUGCUUUUUAGGUUAAUUAUAGCGUAUACUUAUUUCUAUAUCCCAAAAGGAAUAUAUCUAGAUGCAAAAGAGCUUAAAAUAAUAUUUUCACAUAUAUAAUGCCACAUAUAAAUAAGAUGCAUGUAUGCAUAAAUGAUUAAUGUACAAGCAUAACUCAAACUUUUAAACCAUACAACGAAAAUGCACUUUUUUUGCUGAUCUGUCACUGUUAGAUUGGUCGUUCUUCAAUACAGAAACAACAAAUAAAUCAUUUUACGAACAUUCUACUAUUACAGAAUAAUAGUCUAAAUCUCUUUUCCUUUGAAUAUUAUAUCAUUAUAGAAUAUUAUAUCUUUACGAAUAUUAUAUCAUUAUAGAAUAAUAGUCUAAUUCCCCCUUCCAUUGCAUUCUCUCAUUGUUAUAAUUUAGUCAUUGUAAAUCAUUAUAGAAUAAUAGUAUAAUUCUCCUUUUAGAAUUCAAAAAAUACCCAAUAUGUAAUGCCACAUAUUAAUAAGAUGCAUUAUGCAUACAUGGCUAAUGUACGAGCAUGACUCAGACUUUUAAACCAUACAAGCAAAAUACACUUCUUUUGCUGAUCAGUCACUGUUAGAUUGGUCGUUGUUCAAUACAGAAACAACAAAUAAAUCAUUUUACGAACAUUCUAUCAUUACAAAAUAAUAAUCUAAAUCUCAUUUCCUUUGAAUAUUCUAUCAUUAUAGAAUAUUCUAUCAUUACGAAUAUUAUAUCAUUAUAGAAUAAUAGUCUAAUUCCCCCUUACAUUGCAUUCUCUCAUUGUUGUAAUUUAGUCAUUAUAAAUCAUUAUAGAAUAAUAGUCUAAUUCCCCCUUUAGAAUUCUAAAAAAUACCCACUAUGUAAUGCCACAUAUAAAUAAGAUGCAUUAUGCAUACAUGGCUAAUGUACGAGCAUGACUCAGACUUUUAAACUAUACAAGCACAGAGCACUUCGUUUGCUGAUCAGUCACUGUUAUACUUGUCAUUGUUAAAUACACAAACAGCAAAUAAAUCAUUUUACGAAUAUUAUAUCAUUAUAGAAUGAUAGUCCAAUUCCCCCUUCCAUUGCAUUCUCUCAUUGUUGUAAUUUACCAAAAUAAUACAUUACAAAUGAAAGGAUAUGUAAUGCUCUAUUAGUGAAUCUGUAUAAGCAUUUGGCAUGCAAAAAAAACAUUGGUCAACUACGAUCUUCUGAGUUCAUAGAACAUCAUAACAUAAAAUUAAAAACUUGUGUCCGUAUUUGCAGAAAAAGGCAAAUCCAAAAUAUAAUUUAAUCUAGAGAACCUUAUAAAAAACUUAAAUAUUUAAUAAAUAUAUAAAAAUGAUAUCUUGUAACACAAAAUAUUAUGGAUAAGUUUCAACGUUGGCUUAAUAGUUUACUUUAAUUAUAUAAUUCAUGAUACAAAUUACCAAUCUUUUGUUUGGAAUCUCAUAUCACCAAUCCCAUAACUAAAUAUAUAAAGACAACAACAUUAAUUAAAAUAUGAAAACAUUAAAUCAAGUUUAUUCACAUGGUUUAGGUUUGCCAUCAUCACAAUUUCCACGUCCCGCAGGAUCAGAAGAUGAACCACCACCGUCUUUUCCCAACCAGUGUGAAUCCUUACCGAAUAAGCAAGAAGACAAAUGUACAAACGCUUGGUGCCUCUGCUUUAACUCCUCGAUACUCCAGCCUUCCACAUGAAUAUUCCACCACAUUUUGUCUAAUUUAUUUUCAAUUACAAAUUCCUUCAGUUUCUUUUCCUUCUCUUUCUCCAUCUCUAACUCCUUAGCGAGAUCAUAAUUCUUUUCCAUGAGGUUCUAGAUCCUGAAUGUUUUAUUUUUGGUAGGUCAAAUGAAACCAUCAGGGCCCCCAAUACAUAUAUAUAGGUAAAAAGAGAUAUAUGGAAGGAUGGUAUAUUGUUUUUAGACAUUUAAUGUUCAUGAAAAGAGUAUUUUGACUAAUUUACAUAUUUGACUGGUAAACUGGCAGUCACUUUAAUAUAUACUAGAUUUUGACCCGCACGCCCGUGCGGAUGUAUUUUUAAAAAAAAAUAUGAUGCUAUUUGAUUUUUAUGUCACUAUUUAGGGUUGGUAAAAAAACUCGAAUUCGAAGAAUUAAACCGAUCACAAUCCGAAUAAGUAGUACUAAAUCUGAACCGGAAUUGAUUAAAUAUCCGAAUUAUUCAAAAUUUUGGUAUUUGAAGAAUUGAAAUCUAUCCGAUCCGAACCGAAGUAUUUUGGGUAUCCAAAAUAGAUUUAUAUACUUAUAUAUAUUAAUUAUUUUUAGAUUUAAUAUAUAUAAAAACAUCCAGAAUAUAUAUGAUGUAAAUAUAUACAAAUAAUCAAACGUAAAUACUUAAAUAUAUGAUGUAAACUUUUAAGUUCGCUUAAAUGCUUGAAAAUAUGAUGUAAACUUCUAAGUUCGCUUAAAUACUUAUAUAUAUGAUGUAAACUUUUAAGUUCGCUUAAAUGCUUGAAAAUAUAUACAAAUAAUCAAACAUAAAUAUCUUAAAUA
Brassica rapa (field mustard) is the source of this 10530-nucleotide long non-coding RNA. RefSeq lists it as uncharacterized. Lineage: Eukaryota; Viridiplantae; Streptophyta; Magnoliopsida; Brassicales; Brassicaceae. The record is from RefSeq and is a predicted model, not a curated record.